RNAcentral lists this ribosomal RNA (277 nucleotides) under uncultured bacterium. Its description in RNAcentral is "partial 16S ribosomal RNA". It matches the Rfam family "Bacterial small subunit ribosomal RNA", at positions 28 to 305 of the family's 1533-position model. The record is from RNAcentral.
GACGAACGCUGGCGGCGUGCUUAACACAUGCAAGUCGAACGGAAAGGCCCUUUUUUGGGGUGCUCGAGUGGCGAACGGGUGAGUAACACGUGAGUGACCUGCCCUCAUCUUUGGGAUAACCCCGGGAAACCGGGGCUAAUACCGGAUAGGACUUCCUGCUGCAUGGUGGGGGGUGGAAAGCGUUUAGCGGAUGGGGAUGGGCUCGCGGCCUAUCAGCUUGUUGGUGGGGUGAUGGCCUACCAAGGCGGUGACGGGUAGCCGGCCUGAGAGGGCGACC